Pseudoliparis swirei is the source of this 1907-nucleotide long non-coding RNA. RefSeq lists it as uncharacterized. Lineage: Eukaryota; Metazoa; Chordata; Actinopteri; Perciformes; Liparidae. The transcript is spliced from 3 exons. The record is from RefSeq and is a predicted model, not a curated record.
UAUUAUUAACGUAUCCCCUUAAAUCCAUAAAAGUGUUCUCAGUUUAGAAAUCAGUGAAACCUUUUGAGUUUUAACGUUUAGAAUGUUGACAGGACACUCAGUCGGUGAUUCGUCGUGUAAAAUGAGAUUUGAGCUGCAGAAUGUCUUGAAAAUGUCAGGAGGUGUGCGGAAUGUGUUGACAAUUAGUGCAACUCCUCGAACCCCCUUUUAUUUUUGUUUUAAGGCAUCAAAAUGUCGAAAUGUAACUUUGAAAUUUCAGAAAAAAGAUGGCGCCUGAACCAAAUUUUUUGAAUUCUCAAAUAAACUGUAAAAUGCAUAAACUCGGCACCAUGGUAACCAUCGGGAACGCGCGGGCCGCCUGACCUGAGCUGCGCGUGACCCGGAGCUGCUCUGUUGUGACCGUUGAAGCGGGCCUUAUUGUACACACGUCUGCUCCUUUUACUUUAUCAUAUGAAAGUGAUUUAUUUAACAUUAAAAUAAUGUGCACGAGCGCGCGCUGCCUCCAGCAUCUCGACCUCGCGCUCUGAGAUGCACCUCGUGAAGUGGAGAAUAAUGAGUGAGAUCUGUAGCCGUAUACCAUCAAGUUCGCAUGGACCUGUUUUUGGGGCCCUUAACUCAGAGCUAUCGGUCCAAACCGUUCGAGCUUGAGCCCUCUGGUUGACCGGAGCUGUGAGGCGAACUCCUCGAGCUGUUGACCGCGAGCUGAAAGUUAUCCUUGAAUCUCGUUCUAGUUUCUGACUUCCUCUUCCGCGGACCUCCGAGAAGCCGGAGAAUGGAGGACCACCCGUACGCGCUGCGCGGAGCUGGCGGAGACUACGAUGGAGCUCCUGGCCUCCCUGCGGCCGUCAGGUUAGUCCAGGAAGAUAACAUUGCGGACAUUAGGCUUCAUAAUGCGCGUGUGUCUUUGUUGCGUGUCUUGGCCCUUUUACCACCAGACGUGCUCCGGCGCCGACUCCGACACCCAGACAUCCGCCGCCGGUUCCGCCAGCUCCGCCAGAUCGCCCGACUCCGCGAGAGACUGGCCCGCAGGUAAGUUAUCAGGUUAGUGAUACACUUGUCCCUUUAAACUUACACUGUUUAAAGUCCUGUUAUUGGUUUGUAGGAGCACUUUAUUUUAUAUUCUGCUGUAAAUGUAAUAUGUUACAGUUCUUGCACUUUAUUGAUUGUUGAUUGUUUAAUGUUAUUGUCUGAUGUUGCCCCACCCGCCAUGACACAUUCCUUGUAUGUGAAAACAUUCUUUGCAAUAGACAGAUGGAUAGACAGACCGAGAGACACUUGAGAGAUAGAGAGAUGCAGACCCGUUCGCCCGUAUCUGUCCUUGGUGUUCCUGUCCUCUCACCCUCUCUUCAGCUCCGGCCCCCCAGAAACCAGAAGAGUCUCCCAGGAGGAGCAGGAAGAGGAGGAGCCCGACUGCCCGGCAGGACCGAUGAAGUGCCAGACAGCCUUCCCUCGCGCCUGGCGGGGGAAGGCUGGUUGGCGCGGUUAUACUUUUUUAUUUAGGUAUGGAUUGCUGUGACACGAGAAGCAACUUCCAGGAUCUCCUUAAUGACGACGAAGAAGAUGACGAGGGAGGACCACAUGAGAAGGAUGAAGGACUACAGGACCAGAUGCAGAGCGGCGGUUGCCUUAGGCAGGACUCCUCUGUCUCACGCCCAGCUGGAGGAGGACGUCAACCAACCGGUCACCCUCAGCAGACCACUGGACAAGAACAAUCAGGACCCCCCCCCCCCGCCCGUCCACCCAGACCCCCGACACCGCCCGCCCCGCCCACACAGGAAGCAGCUGUGAAGAAGACGGACACUUCAGCCUGAACAGACAUAAUAAUUCUUUCAUUACUCGACGUUCAUGUAAACUGUGUCCAGCAUUUAGAUUAUCUCCUGAUUUUAAUAAAUACAUGGACAACAACA